Molecule: long non-coding RNA, 390 nt
Filed under: Linum usitatissimum (flax)
Lineage: Eukaryota; Viridiplantae; Streptophyta; Magnoliopsida; Malpighiales; Linaceae
Description: long non-coding RNA (LUSI_LNC004338)
Source: RNAcentral
UUAACUUACGAGCUGCUUCAGUUGACAUCCUGGCCGGGGGGGGUUCUGAAAAACAGAAAUUCAGUCUGUCCAAAAUGUUCCUUCUCCCUCUUUUGUUAAAUGAUGGUACGAUCUAUAGCAUUAUGAAAUAGUUUGUACUGCUUUUUCGUAUUACAUGGAUAUAUGCAUCAGCUGCUGAAUGCAAACAAUGUUGCUUUUUUUUGUUGUAAAAAUCUGACCAGGAAAUUCAGACCUGGAGGUAGCAAUGAAGAAGUUUCUAUGUCUCUCCUCAAAUGAACUCUUCUUUUCUUCCUGUUGGUUUCUUUGAUUCAUCUUGUUCGUCGUACCUUGCUGUAUAUACCAGUUUUCAGAAAAUGGAAUUCUUCCAUUAAUGAAAGAAAAUGACUUGGG